UGAUUGUCCAAACGCAAUUCUUGUGUAAAUACGACAACAAGAAAUGUGUGGGGACAUCGUU
RNAcentral lists this microRNA precursor (61 nucleotides) under Daphnia magna. Its description in RNAcentral is "Dma-Mir-219_pre stem-loop". Lineage: Eukaryota; Metazoa; Arthropoda; Branchiopoda; Diplostraca; Daphniidae. The record is from RNAcentral.